GUAUGCUUGACACAUGCAAGUCGAACGCGUAGAAAUACGAGUGGCGAACGGGUGAGUAAUAUACAGAAAUCUACCUUGAGGUGGGGGAUAACUUAGAGAAAUCUAAGCUAAUACCGCAUACUAUCGCAAGAUCAAAGCUUUUGUGCCUUGAGAUGAGUCCGUAUCUGAUUAGCUUGUUGGUGGGGUAAUAGCCUACCAAGGCAACAAUCAGUAAUUGGUCUGAGAGGAUGAUCAGUCACAGUGGAACUGAGACACGGUCCACACUCCUACGGGAGGCAGCAGUGGGGAAUUUUCCGCAAUGGGCGAAAGCCUGACGGAGCAAUACCGCGUGUAGGAUUAAGGCCCUAGGGUUGUAAACUACUGUCAGUGGGGAAGAAAAUGACGGUACCCACAAAGGAAGCACCGGCUAACUCUGUGCCAGCAGCCGCGGUAAGACAGAGGGUGCAAGCGUUAUCCGAAAUUACUGGGCGUAAAACGUCUGCAGGUGGCUAGUAAAGUCUACAGUUAAAUAGUUAAGCUCAACUUAAUCCCGCUGUAGAUACUUGCAAGCUUGAGUGUGCUAGGGGCUAUUGGAAUUCCCGGUGUAGUGGUGAAAUACGUAGAUAUCGGGAGGAACGCCAAAAGCGAAAGCAAAUAGCUGGAGCACUACUGACACUCAGAGACGAAAGCGUGGGGAGCAAAAAGGAUUAGAUACCCUUGUAGUCCACGCCGUAAACUAUGAAUACUAAAUGUUGUAAGAUUCGACCCUUACAGUAUUGAAGCUAACGCGUUAAGUAUUCUGCCUGGGGAGUACACUCGCAAGAGCGAAACUCAAAGGAAUUGACGGGGACCCGCACAAGAGGUGGAACAUGUGGUUUAAUUCGAUGCAACGCGAAGAACCUUACCUAGGCUUGACAUGCCAGAAAUUUUAGCGAAAGUUAAAAGUGUCCGCAAGGAAAUCUGGAUACAGGUGUUGCAUGGUUGUCGU
This 967-nucleotide ribosomal RNA is filed under the name uncultured marine eubacterium HstpL33. RNAcentral's name for it is "bacterial SSU rRNA". It matches the Rfam family "Bacterial small subunit ribosomal RNA", at positions 42 to 1055 of the family's 1533-position model. The record is from RNAcentral.